ACCACACACUGCACCAAUAUUAUUAUAAUAAUAUGUACUAUCACAAACAAUACAUUAUUGAUGUUUAAAACAUAUUAUAAAAAGGACCUACAUACAUAAAACGGAUUCCUGUAGAAAUAUCUAUAUUAUAUUCAUAUAAUAUCGUUGACUAGGAUUUCCGUAGGUACCUUCCUAUGCGAUAAAGAGGAUUUCGAAUUCACAUGGUAUACAUGACUGACUAAACUCGCGAAUAAUUUCUACUUGUUUGGUUUGUUAUAUAAAAAAACAAUAUUUACCUACAUACCUAUGCCUACCUGUAGAUAAGGCAAAGGAAAUGAUAAACUAGAAACUAGAAAAUUGUUAUAAGUACCUGUACAAAACAUUGACAUAUCUUCAUUUGCAUUAUUGCACAAUCGAGAGUAAACGCAGAAAACAUUUCAGGAUGGAGGGAGGGGCAAAAUAUAUCUACCACGAUCUUUGCGUAUUGCUAUAAAUCUGCAAAUUAUUUAAAAUUUAAAUACAAAUUAAGAUGUAAUUUAUACUUCGGAGGGGUAUUUGAACCCUCAAAAAACCCUUGCGUUCGCCACUGUUCGCAAUCCAUUUACACGAAUAUAAUGUUUAUUUAUGGUUUUUUUUUUUUUUAUUAUUCCAUGCAUCAUCGUGGUUAGGUUUUAUUUUAAGUGACUGAGCACAGAUUAAAGAGUUUAUAAAUAUAUAUAUAUAUAUAUAGAUUUUCGAUUUAUAGUUUUUAGAAUCGUCAACGAAUAUUAUUCCGCAUAAUCUCUAAAGGCAAAUUCAGAUUAUAGAGAGCUUAUUGGGUCCCUCCAAAACCAUGACUAGCUCUAGAAAAAUGUAUUCUGCUUAAGCAUUUCUAAUUUUUUGACUCUGUUUCUGAUUAUGACAUACUUUAGUUCUUGACUUUAAAAAUAAAUAUGAAAAUCGAUUUUAUUUUCCAUCGUUACAAUUUUUGAUUUUAAUUACUAUUUCUCAUAAAUGAACUGUAUAAUAUUUUAUCUUCGAUAUUUUAUAAUGUCCUUAUGAUGUAUACUUCAACUUUAUACAAACAUUGAUAAUAUUAUAUUAUGCUAUUAUAAGAACCCUGCUUAGUAAAUUUUUUGUUUUUAUUUGUUCGCUAAUGGGAGUGAACAUUUACACUCAGUAAUCCCGCAUCCCACGGAUCCGCUCUUAAAUAGCUACUCUAAAUAAGGAACACAAAAAAAAAUAAUGCCUUAUCUUGGGACAAACGUUGCAAAAACUAAAAAAAUAUAAACACAGUAGGUAUAGUUUAGGUACUUAUUAUAGGUGUACCUAGAUGUACCAAUUAUCUAUACCUAAUAUGAUAUUAUUUGAACGUUUCGACACAUUCGAAUUAUAUUUAAAUUUCUGUUUUAAAAUACUGUAGGUACCCACCGCAAAAUAGCUGGUCUUUUUACGGAAGCUAACGGUCCAAAGUUUUGAUUUUAAAUCUAGGUAUUAUAAUAUUUUAUACACGUGUCCUAUCCUCCCUCUGUCCCUCUACAAUAUUAUAAUGUGCGCGCAGUGCCUUAAAGGGAAAUAUGAAAUUUUUUUAUUCUGCCCUAUAACCCUUAGGUAUCCUAUUCAAUGUUAACAUAUCCACACUUUGUUACCUAUAUAAAAAUAUAAUAUAAUAUUAUUAUAACAUAUAAUUAUAUAACAUUAUAUAACUCGAUUUUGUUAAUGUAUUAUCAAUAUUAUUAUUAUAGAAUGGGUUAUUCGUUUGGAAAUAAUGUAUACAAAAUAAAAUGAUUUUAUUGCUCUGCCGACAGUACCAUCAUAUUUGUUUAUAAUAUUAUGAUAAGUUUAAGCAGUAAUAAAGACAAUUUUCAACAUUUUGCAUAAAUAUUAUUAUUAUUAAAUCAUUUAUUUUUUUUUUUGUGUUCGGUUUUUUUUUUUUUCAUCACGAAUACAACCAAAAGG
Molecule: non-coding RNA, 1917 nt
Organism: Cinara cedri
Lineage: Eukaryota; Metazoa; Arthropoda; Insecta; Hemiptera; Aphididae
Source: the annotation of a GenBank genome assembly